ACACACCAAUCCUUCCAAUACACUUAGUAUUUAGUAUCACAAAGAAAGAAUCACUCAGAUUUCAGAUCCAAUCAGAGAUUGGAUGGUCACGAAGAAGGAAGGGUUUUGAAGGAUCUCGAAAGCACAGCCGCAGCUGAAGAGAGAAGUGAAAGUGACGGUUCCAAUCAAUUAGGGCAAAAAGAUGGAAGUAUAUAUAUUCAACCAAGGCAACCGUAGAUCAAAGAUAAUUCCAACGGUCAGAG
This 242-nucleotide long non-coding RNA is filed under the name Olea europaea (common olive). Its description in RNAcentral is "long non-coding RNA (OEUR_LNC002108)". The record is from RNAcentral. Lineage: Eukaryota; Viridiplantae; Streptophyta; Magnoliopsida; Lamiales; Oleaceae.